Molecule: transfer RNA, 65 nt
Filed under: Phasianella australis
Lineage: Eukaryota; Metazoa; Mollusca; Gastropoda; Trochida; Phasianellidae
Description: tRNA-Phe
Source: RNAcentral
AUCCUGAUAGCUUAAAAUAAAGCACAGCACUGAAGCUGCUGGCAUGGCCCUUUGGCCUCAGGGUA